This 497-nucleotide ribosomal RNA is filed under the name uncultured bacterium. RNAcentral describes it as "partial 16S ribosomal RNA". It matches the Rfam family "Bacterial small subunit ribosomal RNA", at positions 28 to 507 of the family's 1533-position model. The record is from RNAcentral.
GAUGAACGCUGGCGGCGUGCCUAAUACAUGCAAGUCGAGCGAACGGACGAGAAGCUUGCUUCUCUGAUGUUAGCGGCGGACGGGUGAGUAACACGUGGAUAACCUCCCUAUAAGACUGGGAUAACUUCGGGAAACCGGAGCUAAUACCGGAUGAUAUUUUUAACCGCAUGGUUCAAAAUUGAAAGACGGUCUUGCUGUCACUUAUAGAUGGAUCCGCGCUGCAUUAGCUAGUUGGUAAGGUAACGGCUUACCAAGGCAACGAUGCAUAGCCGACCUGAGAGGGGGAUCGGCCACACUGGAAAUGAGACACGGGCCAGACUCCGACGGGAGGCAGCAGUAGGGAAUCUUCCGCAAUGGGCGAAAGCCUGACGGAGCAACGCCGCGUGAGUGAUGAAGGUCUUCGGAUCGUAAAACUCUGUUAUUAGGGAAGAACAUAUGUGUAAGUAACUGUGCACAUCGUGACGGUACCUAAUCAGAAAGCCACGGCUAACUACGUG